RNAcentral lists this ribosomal RNA (679 nucleotides) under uncultured archaeon. Its description in RNAcentral is "bacterial SSU rRNA". It matches the Rfam family "Archaeal small subunit ribosomal RNA", at positions 183 to 865 of the family's 1478-position model. The record is from RNAcentral.
UGACUUAAAUCUAUAUGGCCCCUGGAUUGGACUGCGGCCGAUCAGGCUGUUGGUGAGGUAAUGGCCCACCAAACCUGUAACCGGUACGGGCUCUGAGAGGAGGAGCCCGGAGAUGGGCACUGAGACAAGGGCCCAGGCCCUAUGGGGCGCAGCAGGCGCGAAACCUCUGCAAUAGGCGAAAGCCUGACAGGGUUACUCUGAGUGAUUUCCGUUAAGGAGAUCUUUUGGCACCUCUAAAAAUGGUGCAGAAUAAGGGGUGGGCAAGUCUGGUGUCAGCCGCCGCGGUAAUACCAGCACCCCGAGUGGUCGGGACGUUUAUUGGGCCUAAAGCAUCCGUAGCCGGUUCUACAAGUCUUCCGUUAAAUCCACCUGCUUAACAGAUGGGCUGCGGAAGAUACUAUAGAGCUAGGAGGCGGGAGAGGCAAGCGGUACUCGAUGGGUAGGGGUAAAAUCCGUUGAUCCAUUGAAGACCACCAGUGGCGAAGGCGGCUUGCCAGAACGCGCUCGACGGUGAGGGAUGAAAGCUGGGGGAGCAAACCGGAUUAGAUACCCGGGUAGUCCCAGCUGUAAACGAUGCAGACUCGGUGAUGAGUUGGCUUAUUGCUAACUCAGUGCCGCAGGGAAGCCGUUAAGUUUGCCGCCUGGGGAGUACGGUCGCAAGACUGAAACUUAAAGGAAU